Molecule: non-coding RNA, 48 nt
Filed under: Schistosoma mansoni
Lineage: Eukaryota; Metazoa; Platyhelminthes; Trematoda; Strigeidida; Schistosomatidae
Source: RNAcentral
GUCUAGCUGACGAGUCUCAAAUAAGACGAAACACGCGUCAAACUGGAU